UUUGAGACUUUGCCCACAAACACUUGAGUGUAUAGAUAAGUUAAACAUUUAUUUUAUCCUUAUAAAAUACAUUUUUAACUUAUCUAUACACUCAAGUGUUUGUGGGCAAAGUCUCCAA
RNAcentral lists this microRNA precursor (118 nucleotides) under Pelobates cultripes (western spadefoot toad). Lineage: Eukaryota; Metazoa; Chordata; Amphibia; Anura; Pelobatidae. The record is from RNAcentral.